UGCCCUUGUAGCUUAAUUAUAAAGCACCGGUUUUGUAACCCGGAAANCGAAGGUUAAAAUCCUUCCUAGAG
Molecule: transfer RNA, 71 nt
Filed under: Hemisorubim platyrhynchos (porthole shovelnose catfish)
Lineage: Eukaryota; Metazoa; Chordata; Actinopteri; Siluriformes; Pimelodidae
Description: tRNA-Thr
Rfam family: tRNA
About the family: Transfer RNA (tRNA) molecules are approximately 80 nucleotides in length. Their secondary structure includes four short double-helical elements and three loops (D, anti-codon, and T loops).
Source: RNAcentral